AGUGAACGCUGGCGGUAGGCCUAACACAUGCAAGUCGAACGGCAGCACAGGAGAGCUUGCUCUCUGGGUGGCGAGUGGCGGACGGGUGAGGAAUACAUCGGAAUCUACUCUGUCGUGGGGGAUAACGUAGGGAAACUUACGCUAAUACCGCAUACGACCUACGGGUGAAAGCAGGGGACCUUCGGGCCUUGCGCGAUUGAAUGAGCCGAUGUCGGAUUAGCUAGUUGGCGGGGUAAAGGCCCACCAAGGCGACGAUCCGUAGCUGGUCUGAGAGGAUGAUCAGCCACACUGGAACUGAGACACGGUCCAGACUCCUACGGGAGGCAGCAGUGGGGAAUAUUGGACAAUGGGCGCAAGCCUGAUCCAGCCAUACCGCGUGGGUGAAGAAGGCCUUCGGGUUGUAAAGCCCUCUUGUUGGGAAAGAAAUCCAGCUGGCUAAUACCCGGUUGGGAUGACGGUACCCAAAGAAUAAGCACCGGCUAACUUCGUACCAGCAGCCGCCGUAA
Molecule: ribosomal RNA, 506 nt
Filed under: uncultured bacterium
Lineage: Bacteria
Description: partial 16S ribosomal RNA
Rfam family: Bacterial small subunit ribosomal RNA
Source: RNAcentral